AUUUACUUACUAUGGCCGUUAUUUUUUACUUCCAUAAACCUGGACAGUAUUGUGACUAUCCCAUUUAUUAUUUUGAGUUUUGCUGUGGACUAUUUUACGUUUGUAAUCACUUUUCAAUGCCUGAUUGAAGUUAUAGUUUAUGAAUGGCAAGUACUUAAACGAUGGCAUGCAACAGUAAUAUUGAUUAUUUUGUGUAAUGUACAUCAGCCCCAAUGGAGUACAAUGACCAAUUGGCUCAUAGUAUACGGGAUUCGUUCAGUUACACUUAUUGAAUUAUUGAUAAUAACCUUUUUAUACCCCUUGAGUAGACUUUUGGAGGACAUAACGUUCCAUAAUGGGAAUGCUCCUUCUUUUGUUGCUGCUUUAAACUUACGACUCGUGUGCUUAAUGUAUAUUGUAAG
Long non-coding RNA from Cydia fagiglandana, 401 nucleotides. RefSeq lists it as uncharacterized. The record is from RefSeq and is a predicted model, not a curated record. The transcript has 3 exons. Lineage: Eukaryota; Metazoa; Arthropoda; Insecta; Lepidoptera; Tortricidae.